GAGUCAUUGGGACUCAAUUAAACCUAAAGGCGCAAUGAAAGUAAAGGUCCGCCUCGCGCGGACCUAGGGAGGAUGCGCCCGACCGCGGUCGGGCGCCGCACUCCCGGGGCGUCUCGUUCUCAUAGCGAGAAGAGGCGCACCCAGAGCGUACACGCUGGGACCCGAAAGAUGGUGAACUAUGCCUGGUCAGGACGAAGUCAGGGGAAACCCUGAUGGAGGUCCGUAGCGAUUCUGACGUGCAAAUCGAUCGUCGGAACUGGGUAUAGGGGCGAAAGACUAAUCGAACCUUCUAGUAGCUGGUUCCCUCCGAAGUUUCCCUCAGGAUAGCUGGCGCUCGCCUUUGCGAGUCUCAUUCGGUAAAGCGAAUGAUUAGAGGCAUUGGGGUCGAAACGGCCUCAACCUAUUCUCAAACUUUAAAUGGGUGAGAUCUCCGGCUUGCUUGAACGGUGAAGCCGCGAGAGAUCAUACGGAUCACAGAGUGCCAAGUGGGCCACUUUUGGUAAGCAGAACUGGCGCUGUGGGAUGAACCAAACGCCGAGUUAAAGCGCCUAAAUCGACGCUUAUGGGAUACCAUGAAAGGCGUUGGUAACUUAAGA
RNAcentral lists this ribosomal RNA (596 nucleotides) under Coprophanaeus lancifer. RNAcentral describes it as "eukaryotic LSU rRNA". It matches the Rfam family "Eukaryotic large subunit ribosomal RNA", at positions 688 to 1237 of the family's 3401-position model. Lineage: Eukaryota; Metazoa; Arthropoda; Insecta; Coleoptera; Scarabaeidae. The record is from RNAcentral.